UAUCCUUUGUCUAGAGGCUAAGCCUGCAUGUCUAAGUACAAGCCUAACUAAGGUGAAACCGCGAAUGGCUCAUUAAAUCACACUUAACCUACUGGAAUGUUAGCAGUUACUUGGAUAACUGCGGUAAUUCUGGAGCUAAUACAUGCGAAAAAUCUCGACUCACGAAGAGAUGCUUUUAUUAGAUCAAAACCAAACAGCCUCUGGCUGUAAUACUGGUGACUCUGAAUAACUUCGGGCUGAUCGCAUCGCCUUGUGCGGGCGACGUUUCCUUCGAAAGUGUGCCCUAUCAACUGUCGACUGUGAUAUAGACGCUCACAGUGGUUUUGACGGGUAACGGGGAAUCAGGGUUCGAUUCCGGAGAGGGAGCCUUAAAAACGGCUACCACAUCUAAGGAAGGCAGCAGGCACGCAAAUUACCCAAUCAUCGAAGAUGGAGGUAGUGACGAAAAAUAACAAUACAAGACUCAUCCGAGGCCUUGUAAUUGGAAUGAGUAUACUUUAAAACCGUUCCCGAGGAUCUAUUGGAGGGCAAGUCUGGUGCCAGCAGCCGCGGUAAUUCCAGCUCCAAUAGCGUAUCUUAAAGUUGUUGUGGUUAAAAAGCUCGUAGUUGGAUUUCGGCAGGCACAGGUUGGUUUGAAUCGCUUCAACACUGACUUUUUUGCCUGUGUGUUUUGCCAGAGUUUGACAGGUGAUCUUAAUCGAUUGUCCGUUGCAGCUGGCAGGAUCACUCUGAAAAAAUUAGAGUGCUCAAAGCAAGCUUGAUUGCUUGAAUAUUCGUGCAUGGAAUAUAGAAUAGGAAGUCGUUUCUAUUUUGUUGUUUUCGGAGAUUGACUUAUGAUUAUAGGGAUAGUCGGGGCAUUUGUAUUCAAACGACAGAGGUGAAAUUCUUGACCGUUUGAGACAAACUACUGCGAAAGCAUUGCCAGAUGUUUUCAUUAUCAGACGAAAGUUAGAGUUCGAGGCGAUUAGAUACCGCCCUAGUUCUACCAUAAACGAUGCAGCUAGCGGAUCUGCCGCCGUUUUUUUUCUGACUGCAAGGAGCCUAGAACCCAAGCUGGGGUUCAAGGAGUAUGGUCGCAAGCUUGAACACUUA
This 1092-nucleotide ribosomal RNA is filed under the name uncultured eukaryote. Its description in RNAcentral is "bacterial SSU rRNA". It matches the Rfam family "Eukaryotic small subunit ribosomal RNA", at positions 27 to 1146 of the family's 1831-position model. The record is from RNAcentral.